UUGAAGGUUGAAAACUAAUGAUGAAUUGAAGGUUGAAAACUAAUGAUGAAUUGAAGGUUGAAAACUAAUGAUGAAUUGAAGGUUGAAAACUAAUGAUGAAUUGAAGGUUGAAAACUAAUGAUAUAUCUAGUUGGUAUUCAGCGGCUUUGGAUGAAUAUCUAUCCUUGCAUCCAGAUCUAGAAUUAUGGGAGCUGGCGGACCCAGAGCGCCUGAAAGGAGCCAAUACGAGCUCCUAAACUAAUAAAACAGGGAUAAAGAGAAACUGCCCUGGUACAAGGAUAGUCUGGCAACCCUCCCUCCAUCAUAGAUGUACAUCAUCUGUGCACAUUAUCUGCACAUUAUCUGCACAUUAUCUGCACAUAGUUCAAAACGAUAUUUACACUUAUUUGAGACUUGGCCUACUUUUAAGUGUUGCAAAGCCUUUGGACUUGAUUUUACCUAAAAAUUUGCUCUACUUCUUUAUCUAGCACUUCAGGCACUGUGAUAACAGUGUUUAAAUCCCUUUAUUUUUGCAACUCACUAUUUCGUAAACGUUUGAUAUUUCAAAUUAUGAGUUCUGUCAGAUAAA
Molecule: long non-coding RNA, 568 nt
Filed under: Eurytemora carolleeae
Lineage: Eukaryota; Metazoa; Arthropoda; Copepoda; Calanoida; Temoridae
Description: uncharacterized LOC111713719
Source: RNAcentral